GAAUUUGGACCGCCAUACUCGCUGUCUCAACGAAGAGUCAUACAAUGAAAUAAAGUUUCGACGGAUGCAAUGGUAUCUUUUGAAGUCUAGCAAACAAUCUUUCCGAAAGAACAAGAAAUUUCAUCCCAACUUGUCUAUUUUGGCAUGCUUCGAAGAUCUGGACCUAUCACAAUUUAUAAAAUAAAAAAAAUAAAAAAAAUAGAUCUAUCGCCAAAGUCAUGUUUAUAUCACUAUUUUUGGAUUUUUGUCCAUUGAGAUAUAAACUUUGAGGUUAACCCUCUUUUGGCCUUUUCACCACCAACC
This 303-nucleotide long non-coding RNA is filed under the name Prunus persica (peach). RNAcentral's name for it is "long non-coding RNA (PPER_LNC007714)". The record is from RNAcentral. Lineage: Eukaryota; Viridiplantae; Streptophyta; Magnoliopsida; Rosales; Rosaceae.